GGUUAAGCGACUAAGCGUACACGGUGGAUGCCCUGGCAGUCAGAGGCGAUGAAGGACGUGCUAAUCUGCGAUAAGCGCCGGUAAGGUGAUAUGAACCGUUAUAACCGGCGAUUUCCGAAUGGGGAAACCCAGUGUGACUCGUCACACUAUCAUUAACUGAAUCCAUAGGUUAAUGAGGCGAACCGGGGGAACUGAAACAUCUAAGUACCCCGAGGAAAAGAAAUCAACCGAGAUUCCCCCAGUAGCGGCGAGCGAACGGGGAGGAGCCCAGAGCCUGAAUCAGCAUGUGUGUUAGUGGAAGCGUCUGGAAAGGCGCGCGAUACAGGGUGACAGCCCCGUACACAAAAGCGCAUGUGCUGUGAGCUCGAUGAGUAGGGCGGGACACGUGGUAUCCUGUCUGAAUAUGGGGGGACCAUCCUCCAAGGCUAAAUACUCCUGACUGACCGAUAGUGAACCAGUACCGUGAGGGAAAGGCGAAAAGAACCCCGGCGAGGGGAGUGAAAAAGAACCUGAAACCGUGUACGUACAAGCAGUGGGAGCACCCUUUGGGGUGUGACUGCGUACCUUUUGUAUAAUGGGUCAGCGACUUAUAUUCUGUAGCAAGGUUAACCGAAUAGGGGAGCCGGAGGGAAACCGAGUCUUAAUUGGGCGUUAAGUUGCAGGGUAUAGACCCGAAACCCGGUGAUCUAGCCAUGGGCAGGUUGAAGGUUGGGUAACACUAACUGGAGGACCGAACCGACUAAUGUUGAAAAAUUAGCGGAUGACCUGUGGCUGGGGGUGAAAGGCCAAUCAAACCGGGAGAUAGCUGGUUCUCCCCGAAAGCUAUUUAGGUAGCGCCUCGUGAAUUCAUCUCCGGGGGUAGAGCACUGUUUCGGCUAGGGGGCCAUCCCGGCUUACCAACCCGAUGCAAACUGCGAAUACCGGAGAAUGUUAUCACGGGAGACACACGGCGGGUGCUAACGUCCGUCGUGAAGAGGGAAACAACCCAGACCGCCAGCUAAGGUCCCAAAGUCAUGGUUAAGUGGGAAACGAUGUGGGAAGGCCCAGACAGCCAGGAUGUUGGCUUAGAAGCAGCCAUCAUUUAAAGAAAGCGUAAUAGCUCACUGGUCGAGUCGGCCUGCGCGGAAGAUGUAACGGGGCUAAACCAUGCACCGAAGCUGCGGCAGCGACACUCAGGUGUUGUUGGGUAGGGGAGCGUUCUGUAAGCCUGCGAAGGUGGCCUGUGAGGGUUGCUGGAGGUAUCAGAAGUGCGAAUGCUGACAUAAGUAACGAUAAAGCGGGUGAAAAGCCCGCUCGCCGGAAGACCAAGGGUUCCUGUCCAACGUUAAUCGGGGCAGGGUGAGUCGACCCCUAAGGCGAGGCCGAAAGGCGUAGUCGAUGGGAAACGGGUUAAUAUUCCCGUACUUGGUGUUACUGCGAAGGGGGGACGGAGAAGGCUAUGUUGGCCGGGCGACGGUUGUCCCGGUUUAAGCGUGUAGGCUGGUUUUCCAGGCAAAUCCGGAAAAUCAAGGCUGAGGCGUGACGACGAGGCACUACGGUGCUGAAGCAACAAAUGCCCUGCUUCCAGGAAAAGCCUCUAAGCAUCAGGUAACAUCAAAUCGUACCCCAAACCGACACAGGUGGUCAGGUAGAGAAUACCAAGGCGCUUGAGAGAACUCGGGUGAAGGAACUAGGCAAAAUGGUGCCGUAACUUCGGGAGAAGGCACGCUGACAUGUAGGUGAAGUGAUUUACUCAUGGAGCUGAAGUCAGUCGAAGAUACCAGCUGGCUGCAACUGUUUAUUAAAAACACAGCACUGUGCAAACACGAAAGUGGACGUAUACGGUGUGACGCCUGCCCGGUGCCGGAAGGUUAAUUGAUGGGGUCAGCGCAAGCGAAGCUCCUGAUCGAAGCCCCGGUAAACGGCGGCCGUAACUAUAACGGUCCUAAGGUAGCGAAAUUCCUUGUCGGGUAAGUUCCGACCUGCACGAAUGGCGUAAUGAUGGCCAGGCUGUCUCCACCCGAGACUCAGUGAAAUUGAACUCGCUGUGAAGAUGCAGUGUACCCGCGGCAAGACGGAAAGACCCCGUGAACCUUUACUAUAGCUUGACACUGAACAUUGAGCCUUGAUGUGUAGGAUAGGUGGGAGGCUUUGAAGUGUGGACGCCAGUCUGCAUGGAGCCGGCCUUGAAAUACCACCCUUUAAUGUUUGAUGUUCUAACGUGGACCCGUAAUCCGGGUUGCGGACAGUGUCUGGUGGGUAGUUUGACUGGGGCGGUCUCCUCCUAAAGAGUAACGGAGGAGCACGAAGGUUGGCUAAUCCUGGUCGGACAUCAGGAGGUUAGUGCAAUGGCAUAAGCCAGCUUGACUGCGAGCGUGACGGCGCGAGCAGGUGCGAAAGCAGGUCAUAGUGAUCCGGUGGUUCUGAAUGGAAGGGCCAUCGCUCAACGGAUAAAAGGUACUCCGGGGAUAACAGGCUGAUACCGCCCAAGAGUUCAUAUCGACGGCGGUGUUUGGCACCUCGAUGUCGGCUCAUCACAUCCUGGGGCUGAAGUAGGUCCCAAGGGUAUGGCUGUUCGCCAUUUAAAGUGGUACGCGAGCUGGGUUUAGAACGUCGUGAGACAGUUCGGUCCCUAUCUGCCGUGGGCGCUGGAGAACUGAGGGGGGCUGCUCCUAGUACGAGAGGACCGGAGUGGACGCAUCACUGGUGUUCGGGUUGUCAUGCCAAUGGCACUGCCCGGUAGCUAAAUGCGGAAGAGAUAAGUGCUGAAAGCAUCUAAGCACGAAACUUGCCCCGAGAUGAGUUCUCCCUGAGACUUUAGGUCUCCUGAAGGAACGUUGAAGACGACGACGUUGAUAGGCCGGGUGUGUAAGCGCAGCGAUGCGUUGAGCUAACCGGUACUAAUGAACCGUGAGGCUUAACCUU
This 2904-nucleotide ribosomal RNA is filed under the name Salmonella enterica. Its description in RNAcentral is "23S ribosomal RNA". It matches the Rfam family "Bacterial large subunit ribosomal RNA". The record is from RNAcentral. Lineage: Bacteria; Pseudomonadati; Pseudomonadota; Gammaproteobacteria; Enterobacterales; Enterobacteriaceae.